This 1239-nucleotide unclassified non-coding RNA is filed under the name Hevea brasiliensis (rubber tree). The record is from RNAcentral. Lineage: Eukaryota; Viridiplantae; Streptophyta; Magnoliopsida; Malpighiales; Euphorbiaceae.
CGAGUCCUUACUGUUUGCACAUGGUCAGCAAACUCCACCUCCACCAAUUUAUGUAUCUGCCGCUCUUUCAUUUGUUCCACGUUAUCGUUUUCACCUAACGACCUGCUCUCUUCAAAACCCAGAUCUUUGAUUUUUCUGGGUCCUCUUCUUUUUCUCAGGAAUCGUUUCCCCAGGUGUGUAUUCUUUUACUUAAUGCUUGGCACAGUUAUUUUUUUUAACGUUUAUGUUGAAUUUUGUUGGUUUAUUCUUCAUCUCUGUCUUCUGGCUUGGAGAUCUUCAUAAGAGAAACUGUAAUUUGGUGUUUUAAUUUUGAAUGAAGCAAGACAAAAGUGUUUCUGGGAUUCACGCUGGAAUUCUUGAUCUGGUUUUCUUUCCUUAUCUAGUCGCUCAUAGCCUGAGGGUUAAUCAUGUUAGGAUUUUUCUUAAAUGCUUCGAUAACCGGAUCUGAGAUCUGCAUGAUCUUGGUGGUGGUCAGUCUGGUGUUAUUCAAAUGACAAUACUUUUUGAUUGUUUCCUCUGAUUGAUGAGUUUGAGACGUUUCAGGUCAGAUACUUGUUGAAUUACUUGGGUGUUUAUUUUUUUUCAUUUAGGUGAUUUGAUUGCUUUCAACUUUAUCUAAUCAUUCGAUUACUAACAAUGGCACUCCUAUACAUUUGAACUUAAGAUUCAGUUGAUUAAUAGCAAUGGUAAUGAUGAUCCUCUAGUCAGGCUAUUUCGAUUGGUUCUUUUUUAUGAAAAUAGUAUAGGAAGUCAAUACUGAGAAGAAAGGAAAUUGGGUACUUGAUUCUUGACUAGACAACUAGCUUUUAAGAUUCAUAACUUUUCUUGUCUUAUUCUCUCUCUUGCACGGCUGCACGUGUAUAUGUGAGUGCAUCAUAAAGUUGUUUUAUUUAAUCUAACUGAAGAAAUAAAAUAAAAUCCUUCAAAUCCAUCAACUGUAUAUCAAAGGCUUCCUGUAGGAACUUUGUGUGCUAAAUGCAAGAAGGCUGCCUGUAGUGUUAGACGUAGGAAUAGGUAUUUUCCCUAGAAAUGCCAAUGGGGGUUUUGCUAUUUCCAACCCCACCCCACAAAAGUAGAGCAAAGUGGUCAAAACUCAUUCAAGACAGAAUGAAUGAAAUUCAACUAGACAGUGAAAUUGCCAUGGAUAAUUUUCCCCUGAACAUGGGUGGUGGGUGUACUAUAUAUAUAUAACAUCUAGCUUUUAAAGAUCUCUUAUCAUCCAUUCCAUGUGACAAUCCG